AUACGGAGGAUGCAAGCGUUAUCCGGAUUUAUUGGGUUUAAAGGGUGCGUAGGCGGUUUGCUAAGCGGGAGGUGAAAUGCCGGCGCUCAACGUCGGAAGUGCCUCCCGAACUGGUGGACUUGAAUGACUCUGCCGUGGGAGGAAUGUGUAGUGUAGCGGUGAAAUGCUUAGAGAUUACACAGAACACCGAUUGCGAAGGCAUCUCACGAAGAGUUGGUUGUCGCUGAGGCACGAAAGCGUGGGGAUCAAACAGGAUUAGAUACCCUGGUAGUCCACGCAGUAAACGAUGAUGGCUAACCGCUGGUUUAUUCGGAUCAGUGGCCAAGCGAAAGCGAUAAGCCAUCCACCUGGGGAGUACGACCGCAAGGUUGAAACUCAAAUGAAUUGACGGGG
RNAcentral lists this ribosomal RNA (393 nucleotides) under uncultured bacterium. Its description in RNAcentral is "partial 16S ribosomal RNA". It matches the Rfam family "Bacterial small subunit ribosomal RNA", at positions 523 to 918 of the family's 1533-position model. The record is from RNAcentral.